GGAGAGUUAGUCAUGGGGAUUUUGUCAGCCACAUCAUGGAGAGCGUAGACAGGACCACGGUACAUGGCCGCCGCCGAGGUCAGGUCAGGGGGCGCGGUAAGGAGAUCAGCUAAAAGGGAAGAGAGAAGGAGUCUCAAGUGUCAGCACUCGUUUGUUACGGGACGUUUCAAGGACAGGACUUUCCGGUUUGACAAACUUUGUCUUCAUAUCAUCAUGAGAACUUAAAAAAAAAAAAAGAGAAAGGAUAUCGAGGCAACGAUCGUUUAUAGCUGCUACAGCAAAAGCAGUAUCAGGAAGUAGCUUGUUCCGUAGAUGAUGUAUGCUAUUAUGAUAAGCUCAUCAACCUCAGGUAUUUAUGAGUAACAAAAGCAGUGUUUGGAAUCAGCAGCAUUGCAUCACCCUGUUGUUCAUUAUUUUCCAAUAACAGCACUCCCCCCAUGUGGUUUAGUGCCUUGCUGGUAAACAGAUUUUCAUAACAGUUUGCCUUUAAUACGAUAUUCAUCAGUAUAAAACAUCAGUAGACAGCUCGACUUGCAUAGAAAACAAAAACCUCUGCAAUAUAGACCGAGAAACAGGAGGAUUUUCUGUACUGUACAUUUCUGCUGCAGCUGCAGUGCUUGAGAAUAAGCUUGUAUUUGCCCUUGUGUUCGUGUCUGUCUUGCCCUUUCUGCAAGAUCGAUAUGUCAAGAAAAUGUCAUUUGUCUGUGGGUUGAGUAAUCAAAGCCCUCAACAGGAACAUCAUAACAAACACAGACUGCUGAAAAAGCACAAAAGAAAAAAACCCCAUCGGUCUGAGCGGGAAAUCUAAAGCAGAUAUUUUAGUCUAUAUAUCAGAAUAACAGGACUGUGCAUGCUAUUUGACCCGAAACACAACAAUCCAAGAGCAGAUCUCAAUAACACCUCAUUUGUGAGGCUUACAAGCAAUCUGAAUGCACAGAAGUGAUUUCUGGGAAGAGGAAAUGUAAAAUUGUACAUAAGUGAUUUGUAGGACUAGUGAAGGCUUCUGUCGAGGGUGAGAUCAGGGUCCGUCUGGAACAGUGUGAGUUCACAUAUCUCACACACACACAAAAAAAACCCUAUUCUCAAUGAUAUCUGCAAUAAUGUGAGCUUUUAGAGAAUGUGGAUUUCUCCUAAAUGCACAGCGAAAUGGUCAUUAGCAUGGACAUAAGUGGUUUCACCCUUUUAACUCGGGGAGAGAGGGGGAAAAAAAUCAAUCAGGGGAAGUGAGCCUAAAUCUAUAUCGUUAUGGGUUUUAUAUUCUCCACAAACUGGUCAUCAAUCUGACAUAGAACUAAUGCUUUCGAAAAAAAAACAACAAAAAAAACAGUAGGACCGACCGAGCAGAGAAGACGAUCGUACACCCUACAGAUCUCACAUCUUCAAACUCAGGCUGCAUUAUUUCUCUUUUUGGAUGAUUACGGACUUAUCGAUCCGCCAAGAUUCCUCUGAUCAAUAGCGUCAUUAAUAUCGUCUCAUUUACAUGUAGAGGCUUUUCGAAUUAAACUGACAUCAUUAAUUGGAUUUUGUAAUGUCAUUAGUGUAAUUCAGGGUGUACUUUUAAUCAAUCGGAUUUUGAUGGCGGUAAUAAUUAAAGUGCAAAGUACAAACGAGCAAAACUUGAAUAAAUAAUACGAAACUAAAAGUGCUUUCAAAGUCAUCGCUGUCUCAUAUAUCGAAUCCGCUUUCGGACCAAGAUACCGAGUGUACGGCUGGGAAACGUGACUAUGUGGUAUCAGUAUCAUGAUAAAUUACACCGCAGUGUGAUGUUCAGACAGUAGAAUCUAUUUAGCAUUAACCGUUGUCGUCCUGUGAUGGACCGACGUCCCGUUCAGGACGCGUUCCCGAUGUACUUACCAAUUUGUUUAAAAAAACAAAACGUCUCAAAAUGUGGCUCUGCCGUUUUUCUGGCACAUGGUACUGUUUUUCCGAUCACAAGAAAUUAUGCAAAUACAUUUCACAAAGUGUGUGUGUGUGUUUUUUUUUUUUUCCCUAAACGCCAGAAGAUCUAUGAGAUCAGAUUACAUUUUAAAACAUAAUUUCUUUUUAAAUUGUAAGCGCAACAUAUAUAUUCGAUAUAAUAUAAGCACACAAAAUUGUUUACUAUAUACAGCCACGUAUAAUAUAUAUGUAAAAAGCUUUUUUUCUUUUUUUUUUUUUUAGUAUAAGACUUUUCCUUUACAAAACAUUCUGAUUUGAAAAUUAUUACAGAGCACUAAAAGAAAAACCUUUUUUUUUCAUUAAGUUUUAAAACACUGGAAGUGUGCAGCAGAGGUAAAAAAAAAAAAAAAAAAAGUCAUCUUGUCAGUCCUUAUAUAACUGGCUCAAACAAAAAAUAAAUAAAUAAAAUAAAAUAAAAAGAAAGAAAUGUAAAAAUCAAGACUUUGGGCUUGACUCCUCCUUGGCCUCUCUGGCUCCUUUCUGUCUCGCUUGCUGAAUUUCGUGGUUUUUAAAUUAGACUCCGGAUCAUAGUAAUCACAGAUGCUUAGCAUUUCUGAAACUUCUUUCUAAGUACAGUAUAAUCACUUAUCGUUAUUUUAAAUAUAGCUCCUGAAUGGUGGGUCUGUGAUAGGGGUAAUUACUUUCUGCAUUGCAGCGUAGGCAGAGCCGUGAUUUAACACUCCUGUGUUCUAUAUUUAGUUUCCCUGCUUGGUUCGACUAAACAAAGGCCAUCGGUACAGUUCUUGGAUUGGAGCACCAUGCCCUCGCAGUCCUUGCCGCCAUUUUUCGGAGCCGGUGCGGUGCACUCUCUCCUCCUCCAGUGGGUGCACUCUGUCCCACAUGUUGACCAUUUACUCCAUUCUGUCCACAAACCGUCCACUGGAAAUGCAGCGAGAGAAUGUGUGCUAAUGAUGGAGCCACAACCACUACUCUGAGCUUCAAGCAGUGUAAUGUGGCUAUUUAUGUACGAUUGCCAUGGCUCCUGAGACAAUGGCAAAAUCCAUCUCACUCAUCACAGCUCGAGAGACUGCGGCUGGGAAACACAUUGCGGCUUUGGACUUCUAAUGACUUGGCUUUUUCUUCACAAUGUGAGAAAAACUUCUUCUUGGCUGGGCUAGAACUUCUGUAAGUCUGAUCUUCCCUCCUGCUGUUCCUGGUCUAAUCAGAAGAUGAGUCUUUCCACUCCUUAUCUUGACCGGAUUUAGCUCUGGUCUCUCCGGAACACUGCAGACAUGCCUUACGACAUGGGCACUGCUGGAAGACUGAUUGCGGGGCAUUCUUUGGAGGAUGAGCCGACUUCAAAGCCUUUCCAUGUUGCCCUUGUGGUCUGCAUUUUGGGCUACAAAGAAAGGCCCAAAAAAAUAACCAGUCCUUUUUGUAAAUGCUUAUUUUGGAUUUGACUGAGCCGCACAUGAUGAAACCUCCUGUGUCUUUAGUACUCCAAGUUACAACAAAAAAAUGGUAUAAUGGCAAAGGAGAGGAAAGAACUUAAAAUAAUAGAGCAGGGAUAAUCCCUAAGCUUUUAUUGCCAUGCUAGUGAUAUAGAGCUCCAUCAUGGAUUCAGACAGGAAGCUAGAAGUGAGAGACCUCAGAGAAACUUGACCCUGGUGACAUCAGCAGCUGCUGAGAACCACCACCCACCACAAGCAUAUCCAGGGGGAUGGAGAAGGAAUUUUUGCAGAUAGGUUUCUAGAUGUCGUUUAGAACAAACAACAAAAGAGCUGUUAGAUGACUAACAGCGAUGCCCUCAUUCACUGAUUCUGACCAAAGUGAGUGUUUAUUCAGAUGCUUCUGACUCAGACAGUGGCUCAGUGGUUGGACAGCUGAUUGGAAGGUUGUGAGUUCAAAUCCAACUAUUGCCACUGUUAAGUUCUUGAGCAAGUACCGUAACCCUUAACUGCUUAUCCUCUCUCAGUUGUCAGUUGCUUUGGAUAAAAUCAUCAACCAAAUAAACAAAAGUAAUCUCUCGGCUCUGUUUUCAAUUUAGAUUCUUUGCAGCUCAGUCUGAACUCCUCACUAAUCUUGCCUCCAUUGCUUUCAAAGCACAAGCCUCCUCCAUUCCCCUUACUCUGACACAGGAGGUCAUUUAUUCUUCAAGCUAAACCCGGGAGCAAUUCCAGCGAGUCUCCAGCUGAGGAAAAGAAGUUGAUUUAUUAUGGCUAGGGAGAGUGAAAACUACCGGUUGCAGGAUUCUGGAAUUUGAUGUGAAGGAAAACCAACUAUAAUAGCAGCAGGUGGGAACUUCUGACUUACUGAAGAUCUAUUUUUUCCCCCGAGAGAGGGAGAGAUAGAUAGAUAGAUAGAGUGAGUCUUCCUGUGUUUUACAGCUACAGCUCUGACUUCCUAACACCUCAUCCCAUCAAUGGAAGGGCGGCAGGGCCGUUUUCGGUGGAGAUCUUCCCUUGUGUUUUCCUCGUCCUAUAAAACUGCAUAGAAUUGGCAGAGAACUUUAGGGUAGAACGGGGUGUAGUUCCAGCUUGUCAGCACAUCUAACACUUCUUAAGAAGAAAAAUAUCUUUCUGCUCUGGGGAGCGGCAAGGAGAGAUCAGGCUCAAAAAAAGAGAAAGAUAAGGCAAAGGUGCUUACAAGAGUAUCAAAAACAGCCUGUUCUCAGAUUCAACGGAGUAAAGAUUUGAUCCUAUGCACUCAUCAUAAACUCUUGUUCAAACUGCAUGUCUCUGUGAUGUCUAUUCAUCAAAGACGGAAUGUGACCUUACAAAUAUUGACAAAACAACACUCUUUCUUUCAAGUGAAGGUUACGCAGUAAAAAAAAUGAAUAAUUUUAACAUUACCGUAGACUAUAACAGUGGCUGUGGUGCUCCUCCUCUUGGCCACGAUGUUCUUGGCUACGCAGGUGUAGUUAGCAGUA
Long non-coding RNA from Tachysurus fulvidraco (yellow catfish), 4807 nucleotides. RefSeq lists it as uncharacterized. Lineage: Eukaryota; Metazoa; Chordata; Actinopteri; Siluriformes; Bagridae. The record is from RefSeq and is a predicted model, not a curated record. The transcript has 5 exons.